RNAcentral lists this ribosomal RNA (603 nucleotides) under uncultured bacterium. RNAcentral describes it as "bacterial SSU rRNA". The stretch from base 1 to 516 matches the Rfam family "Bacterial small subunit ribosomal RNA", at positions 338 to 873 of the family's 1533-position model. The record is from RNAcentral.
CCUACGGGAGGCAGCAGUGGGGAAUCUUGCGCAAUGGGCGAAAGCCUGACGCAGCCAUGCCGCGUGAAUGAUGAAGGUCUUAGGAUUGUAAAAUUCUUUCACCGGGGACGAUAAUGACGGUACCCGGAGAAGAAGCCCCGGCUAACUUCGUGCCAGCAGCCGCGGUAAUACGAAGGGGGCUAGCGUUGCUCGGAAUUACUGGGCGUAAAGGGAGCGUAGGCGGAUAGUUUAGUCAGAGGUGAAAGCCCAGGGCUCAACCUUGGAAUUGCCUUUGAUACUGGCUAUCUUGAGUACGGAAGAGGUAUGUGGAACUCCGAGUGUAGAGGUGAAAUUCGUAGAUAUUCGGAAGAACACCAGUGGCGAAGGCGACAUACUGGUCCGUUACUGACGCUGAGGCUCGAAAGCGUGGGGAGCAAACAGGAUUAGAUACCCUGGUAGUCCACGCUGUAAACGAUGAGUGNUAGUUGUCGCAUGCAUGCAUGUCGGUGACGCAGACUACGACAUAAGCACUCCGCCGUGGGAGGUACGGUCGCGAAGAAUUAAACUACAAUAGUAAGUUAGACGGCGUGAGACGUGACCGACGGACGACGACGAGGGAGGAGG